UGAGGAAUAUUGGUCAAUGGGCGAUGGCCUGAACCAGCCAAGUAGCGUGAAGGAUGACUGCCCUAUGGGUUGUAAACUUCUUUUAUAAAGGAAUAAAGUCGGGUAUGCAUACCCGUUUGCAUGUACUUUAUGAAUAAGGAUCGGCUAACUCCGUGCCAGCAGCCGCGGUAAUACGGAGGAUCCGAGCGUUAUCCGGAUUUAUUGGGUUUAAAGGGAGCGUAGAUGGAUGUUUAAGUCAGUUGUGAAAGUUUGCGGCUCAACCGUAAAAUUGCAGUUGAUACUGGAUGUCUUGAGUGCAGUUGAGGCAGGCGGAAUUCGUGGUGUAGCGGUGAAAUGCUUAGAUAUCACGAAGAACUCCGAUUGCGAAGGCAGCCUGCUAAGCUGCAACUGACAUUGAGGCUCGAAAGUGUGGGUAUCAAACAGGAUUAGAUACCCUGGUAGUCCACACGGUAAACGAUGAAUACUCGCUGUUUGCGAUAUACGGCAAGCGGCCAAGCGAAAGCGUUAAGUAUUCCACCUGGGGAGUACGCCGGCAACGGUGAAACUCAAAGGAAUUGACGGGGGCCCGCACAAGCGGAGGAACAUGUGGUUUAAUUCGAUGAUACGCGAGGAACCUUACCCGGGCUUAAAUUGCACUCGAAUGAUCCGGAAACGGUUCAGCUAGCAAUAGCGAGUGUGAAGGUGCUGCAUGGUUGUCGUCAGCUCGUGCCGUGAGGUGUCGGCUUAAGUGCCAUAACGAGCGCAACCCUUGUUGUCAGUUACUAACAGGUGAUGCUGAGGACUCUGACAAGACUGCCAUCGUAAGAUGUGAGGAAGGUGGGGAUGACGUCAAAUCAGCACGGCCCUUACGUCCGGGGCUACACACGUGUUACAAUGGGGGGUACAGAGGGCCGCUACCACGCGAGUGGAUGCCAAUCCCUAAAACCCCUCUCAGUUCGGACUGGAGUCUGCAACCCGACUCCACGAAGCUGGAUUCGCUAGUAAUCGUGCAUCAGCCACGGCGCGGUGAAUACGUUCCC
RNAcentral lists this ribosomal RNA (1019 nucleotides) under uncultured bacterium. RNAcentral describes it as "bacterial SSU rRNA". It matches the Rfam family "Bacterial small subunit ribosomal RNA", at positions 355 to 1375 of the family's 1533-position model. The record is from RNAcentral.